RNAcentral lists this ribosomal RNA (734 nucleotides) under uncultured bacterium. RNAcentral describes it as "bacterial SSU rRNA". It matches the Rfam family "Bacterial small subunit ribosomal RNA", at positions 61 to 795 of the family's 1533-position model. The record is from RNAcentral.
GUCGAGCGAAGCACUUCGUUUUGAAUCUUCGGAGGAAGAACGGAAUGACUGAGCGGCGGACGGGUGAGUAACGCGUGGGCAACCUGCCUCAUACAGGGGGAUAACAGUUAGAGAUGACUGCUAAUACCGCAUAAGACCGCGGUACCGCAUGGUACAGCGGUAAAAACUCCGGUGGUAUGAGAUGGGCCCGCGUCUGAUUAGCUAGUUGGCGGGGUAACGGCCCACCAAGGCGACGAUCAGUAGCCGACCUGAGAGGGUGACCGGCCACAUUGGGACUGAGACACGGCCCAAACUCCUACGGGAGGCAGCAGUGGGGAAUAUUGCACAAUGGGGGAAACCCUGAUGCAGCGACGCCGCGUGGGUGAAGAAGCGCCUCGGCGCGUAAAGCCCUGUCAGCAGGGAAGAAAAUGACGGUACCUGAAGAAGAAGCCCCGGCUAACUACGUGCCAGCAGCCGCGGUAAUACGUAGGGGGCAAGCGUUAUCCGGAUUUACUGGGUGUAAAGGGGGCGCAGACGGCGAUGCAAGCCAGGAGUGAAAGCCCGGGGCCCAACCCCGGGACUGCUCUUGGAACUGCGUGGCUAGAGUGCAGGAGGGGCAGGCGGAAUUCCUGGUGUAGCGGUGAAAUGCGUAGAUAUCAGGAGGAACACCGGUGGCGAAGGCGGCCUGCUGGACUGCAACUGACGUUGAGGCCCGAAAGCGUGGGGAGCAAACAGGAUUAGAUACCCUGGUAGUC